RNAcentral lists this ribosomal RNA (253 nucleotides) under uncultured bacterium. RNAcentral's name for it is "partial 16S ribosomal RNA". It matches the Rfam family "Bacterial small subunit ribosomal RNA", at positions 524 to 776 of the family's 1533-position model. The record is from RNAcentral.
CACGUAGGAGGCAAACGUUAUCCGGAUUUACUGGGCGUAAAGCGCGUGUAGGUGGUAUGGUAAGUAGGGCGUGAAAGCUCCUGGCUCAACUAGGAGAGGCCGUUCUAAACUACCGUACUCGAGUUUGGCAGAGGAAGAUGGAAUUCCAGGUGUAGCGGUAAAAUGCGCAGAUAUCUGGAGGAACACCAGUGGCGAAAGCGAUCUUCUGGGCCAAUACUGACACUCAGACGCGAAAGCUAGGGUAGCAAACGGG